GACGAACGCUGGCGGCGUGCUUAACACAUGCAAGUCGAACGAUGAAGCUGGAGCUUGCUCUAGCGGAUUAGUGGCGAACGGGUGAGUAACACGUGAGCAAUCUGCCCUUGACUCUGGGAUAACUGCGGGAAACUGUAGCUAAUACCGGAUACUUUCACCGGGGGGCAUCCUCUGGUGAUGAAAGAAUUUCGGUCAAGGAUGGGCUCGCGGCCUAUCAGCUUGUUGGUGAGGUAACGGCUCACCAAGGCGACGACGGGUAACCGGCCUGAGAGGGUGACCGGUCACACUGGGACUGAGACACUGCCCAGACUCCUACGGGAGGCAGCAGUGGGGAAUAUUGCACAAUGGGCGCAAGCCUGAUGCAGCAACGCCGCGUGAGGGAUGAAGGCCUUCGGGUUGUAAACCUCUUUUAGCAGGGAAGAAGCGAAAGUGACGGUACCUGCAGAAAAAGCACCGGCUAACUACGUGCCAGCAGCCGGGGUAA
This 484-nucleotide ribosomal RNA is filed under the name uncultured bacterium. RNAcentral's name for it is "partial 16S ribosomal RNA". It matches the Rfam family "Bacterial small subunit ribosomal RNA", at positions 28 to 523 of the family's 1533-position model. The record is from RNAcentral.